RNAcentral lists this small RNA (107 nucleotides) under Brevundimonas alba. Its description in RNAcentral is "sRNA CC3552". It matches the Rfam family "Cauldobacter sRNA CC3552". Lineage: Bacteria; Pseudomonadati; Pseudomonadota; Alphaproteobacteria; Caulobacterales; Caulobacteraceae. The record is from RNAcentral.
GGAGGCGGCGACGCCCCCCCGACUUGAGACUGGUGAGAACCAGUCUGUCGCCUCCGCGCCUCAUUCUCGAUGAUGCCACUUCAAGGCGGACCCUCUGCGGUCCGCCU